Molecule: ribosomal RNA, 440 nt
Filed under: uncultured bacterium
Lineage: Bacteria
Description: partial 16S ribosomal RNA
Rfam family: Bacterial small subunit ribosomal RNA
Source: RNAcentral
CCUACGGGAGGCAGCAGUGGGGGAUAUUGCACAAUGGGGGGAACCCUGAUGCAGCGACGCCGCGUGGGUGAAGAAGCGCCUCGGCGCGUAAAGCUCCGUCAGCAGGGAAGAAAAUGACGGUACCUGAAGAAGAAGCCCCGGCUAACUACGUGCCAGCAGCCGCGGCAAUACGGAGGCGGCAAGCGUUAUCCGGAUUUACUGGGCGUAAAGGGGGCGCAGACGGCGAUGCAAGCCAGGAGUGAAAGGCCGGGGUCCAACCCCGGGACUGCUCUUGGAACUGGGUGGCUGGAGUGCAGGAGGGGCAGGCGGAAUGCCUGGUGUAGCGGUGAAUUGCGUAGAGAUCAGGAGGAACACCGAUGGCGAAGGCAGCCUGCUAGACUGCAACUGACGUUGAGGCCCGAAAGCGUGGGGAGCAAACAGGAUUAGAUACCCCAGUAGUC